This 634-nucleotide ribosomal RNA is filed under the name uncultured beta proteobacterium. RNAcentral describes it as "bacterial SSU rRNA". It matches the Rfam family "Bacterial small subunit ribosomal RNA", at positions 8 to 635 of the family's 1533-position model. Lineage: Bacteria; Pseudomonadati; Pseudomonadota; Betaproteobacteria. The record is from RNAcentral.
AGAGUUUGAUCAUGGCUCAGAUUGAACGCUGGCGGUAUGCUUUACACAUGCAAGUCGAACGGCAGCAUAGGUGCUUGCACCUGAUGGCGAGUGGCGAACGGGUGAGUAAUGCAUCGGAACGUGCCCAGUCGUGGGGGAUAACGCAGCGAAAGCUGUGCUAAUACCGCAUACGAUCUAUGGAUGAAAGCGGGGGACCUUCGGGCCUCGCGCGAUUGGAGCGGCCGAUGUUAGAUUAGGUAGUUGGUGGGGUAAAGGCUCACCAAGCCGACGAUCUAUAGCUGGUCUGAGAGGACGACCAGCCACACUGGAACUGAGACACGGUCCAGACUCCUACGGGAGGCAGCAGUGGGGAAUUUUGGACAAUGGGCGAAAGCCUGAUCCAGCAAUACCGCGUGCAGGAAGAAGGCCUUCGGGUUGUAAACUGCUUUUGUACGGAACGAAACGGCGUGCUCUAAUAAAGUGCGCUAAUGACGGUACCGUAAGAAUAAGCACCGGCUAACUACGUGCCAGCAGCCGCGGUAAUACGUAGGGUGCAAGCGUUAAUCGGAAUUACUGGGCGUAAAGCGUGCGCAGGCGGUUUUGUAAGACAGGCGUGAAAUCCCCGGGCUCAACCUGGGAAUUGCGCUUGUGACUG